This 500-nucleotide ribosomal RNA is filed under the name uncultured bacterium. RNAcentral's name for it is "partial 16S ribosomal RNA". It matches the Rfam family "Bacterial small subunit ribosomal RNA", at positions 30 to 523 of the family's 1533-position model. The record is from RNAcentral.
AUUGAACGCUGGCGGCAUGCCUACACAUGCAAGUCGAACGGCAGCACGGGUGCUUGCACCUGGUGGCGAGUGGCGAACGGGUGAGUAAUAUAUCGGAACGUACCUUAUUGUGGGGGAUAACGCAGCGAAAGCUGUGCUAAUACCGCAUAAUCCCUAAGGGGGAAAGCGGGGGACCGUAAGGCCUCGCGCAAUUAGAGCGGCCGAUACCUGAUUAGCUAGUUGGUGAGGUAAAGGCUCACCAAGGCAACGAUCAGUAGCUGGUCUGAGAGGACGAUCAGCCACACUGGGACUGAGACACGGCCCAGACUCCUACGGGAGGCAGCAGUGGGGAAUUUCGGACAAUGGGGGCAACCCUGAUCCAGCAAUGCCGCGUGAGUGAAGAAGGCCUUCGGGUUGUAAAGCUCUUUUGUCAGGGAAGAAACAGCAGCUCUAACACAGUAUGCGAAUGACGGUACCUGAAGAAUAAGCACCGGCUAACUACGUGCCAGCAGCCGCGGUAA